CGCCGCGAUCCGUGAGGAGCCUACCGGCUCAUCCGGCGCCGGCAGUGCUGCGGCAGCAGCCACGACCCGGCCCGGCCCGAGACCUGCAUCCCUUCAGAGCUGGAUAGCCUGUCUGCCCAGCAUGAUACAGCUGACGGGUGGAUGAAAUGGCAGCAGACGUGGCUUGGUGUAUAGAUUGCCCCGCUGCUGUGGAGCCCCCUCAAGCAUAGAUGCCAUGCAAGCUGUGCUGACCCCGGCCUGGCUCCUGCGGGUCACUGCAUGUCAAGGACGUCCCAACAGUCAGUGAAGCUUCUCCUCACCAACGUGUGAUCGCAUCGUGCCUUGGGUUGUCGUGGUCAGUCAGCACAGUAGCAAAAUAGUGCUGCUGACUCUGAAAGAGAUAAUGGAGAAAGGGCGAGUCCUCAGGAGGUCCCCCAGCAGAACCAGGACCCUGUUGAAACCGAAACAAAGGGGACCGAAGGUACUGACUUUGCAGAACAGGAAAGUCUUCACGAUGAGCUGCUACCUGAACUGGACAGCCAGGAAAGGGCAGAGCUGCUGCGGUGGAUCGAUGCCACACAGCCACCGAGCCCAGACGUCCCCAGCAGCACAAAAACACCACCAUUCAUCACAUUGCUCCCUGACUUUCCCUGGGCCAGCAGGGAGCGAAACGGAGAGGGAGAGACUGAGGCCUGGAUCAGCAGCGACCUGUUCUGCACACAUCCAUUGUGCUCCAGGCAGUUCCCCAGGCCGCUGUCCUGCAGGCCUUUCCUGCUGUCCUGCAGCACAUCACCAAAGCUGCUCGUGUUAACCCCCCUGGAUGUCCCAGCACUUCCCUUUCACCGCACAGCACAUCUGAUGGAGGAGGCACAGCAGACGCAGCCCCAGGUGGUUCUCACCCGCCUGGCACUGCCACCUGGCUGCACCUCCUGCUCCGUGCCGGACAACCACAGCGGGGAUGGCACCGAGCCGGCUGA
Meleagris gallopavo (turkey) is the source of this 956-nucleotide non-coding RNA. The record is from RefSeq and is a predicted model, not a curated record. Lineage: Eukaryota; Metazoa; Chordata; Aves; Galliformes; Phasianidae.